This 207-nucleotide ribosomal RNA is filed under the name uncultured bacterium. RNAcentral's name for it is "partial 16S ribosomal RNA". It matches the Rfam family "Bacterial small subunit ribosomal RNA", at positions 568 to 774 of the family's 1533-position model. The record is from RNAcentral.
CACGUAGGCGGCCUGGUAAGUCAGAUGUGAAAGCCCGGGGCUUAACCCCGGAAGUGCAUUUGAUACUGCUAGGCUUGAGUAUGGGAGAGGGAAGUGGAAUUCCUGGUGUAGAGGUGAAAUUCGUAGAUAUCAGGAGGAACACCGGUGGCGAAGGCGACUUCCUGGACCAAUACUGACGCUGAGGUGCGAAGGCGUGGGUAGCAAACA